This 539-nucleotide ribosomal RNA is filed under the name uncultured ciliate. RNAcentral describes it as "SSU rRNA". It matches the Rfam family "Eukaryotic small subunit ribosomal RNA", at positions 401 to 956 of the family's 1831-position model. The record is from RNAcentral. Lineage: Eukaryota; Ciliophora.
AAACGGCUACCACAUCUAAGGAAGGCAGCAGGCGCGUAAAUUACCCAAUCCUGAUUCAGGGAGGUAGUGACAAGAAAUAACAAACUGGGAGACUUUGUCUUUACAGAAUUGCAAUGAGAACAAUUUAAAUGACUUAUCGAUUAACAAUUGGAGGGCAAGUCUGGGGCCAGCAGCCGCGGUAAUUCCAGCUCCAAUAGCGUAUAUUAAAGUUGUUGCAGUUAAAAAGCUCGUAGUUGAAUUUCUGUACAUUCUCAGUUCUGGCUUCGGUCAAGCUGUUGAAUGUGCAUCCGCUUGCAAACUUAAACCGGCCUUCACUGGUCGACUAAGGGAGUAAGCCCUUUACUUUGAAAAAAUUAAAGUGUUUCAGGCAGGCAAUGGCUCGAAUACAUUAGCAUGGAUUAAUGGAAUAGGACUUUUGUCCAUUUGGUUGGUUAUUGGACAUAAGUAAUGAUUAAAAGGGACAGUUGGGGGCAUUAGUAUUUAAUUGUCAAAGGUGAAAUUCUUGGAUUUAUUAAAGACUAACUUAUGCGAAAGCAUUU